RNAcentral lists this ribosomal RNA (314 nucleotides) under uncultured fungus. RNAcentral describes it as "eukaryotic LSU rRNA". The record is from RNAcentral. Lineage: Eukaryota; Fungi.
AACGCACCUUGCGCCCCUUGGCUAUUCCGAGGGGCAUGCCUGUUUGAGUAUCAUGAACACCUCAACUCUCAUGGUUCGCCGUGAUGAGCUUGGACUUUGGGGGUUUUGCUGGCCUACGGUCAGCUCCUCUCAAACAAAUCAGCCUGCCAGUGUUUGGUGGCAUCACAGGUGUGAUAACUAUCUACGCUUGUGGUUGCCCACCAGGUAACCUUCAGCAAUGGAGGACCGCUGGAGCUUAUAAAUGUCUUUCCUCAGUGAAGACAGCUUUUUGAACGUUCGAUCUCAAAUCAGGUAGGACUACCCGCUGAACUUAA